This 504-nucleotide long non-coding RNA is filed under the name Panax ginseng (ginseng). RNAcentral's name for it is "long non-coding RNA (PGIN_LNC001767)". The record is from RNAcentral. Lineage: Eukaryota; Viridiplantae; Streptophyta; Magnoliopsida; Apiales; Araliaceae.
UCAUUGAAUAUCAAUUUCAACAAUUACAUUGAAAAAUAUCAUAAAUCUCUUAUUAAAUCUCCCGUCAAAUAUUAUUAAUUAUGCAAUAAUAUUUUACGCUAAGGUUAUCAACCUUUUAAUUACAUUCCAAUCAAAUACUACUAAUAAUAUCUCACUACAAUACUAUUAGUCAUAUAAAAAAAAAUCUUAAGUCAUUAAUCACAUAAAUAAACAAUUAUUUCAAUUGUUUUCCUUUUUAAUAAAUAACUUGCUUAAGCAUUCUAAAAUGCUAUAAACAUUACAACACUUUAAACCCGACCCAAAGCUUCAUUACAAACUUGCAUAAGCCAUGCUCACGGGUCUCACUUCAUACAUCGCAUUUUUCCUAUUUUUGGACACUUUUGAUUUUCGAAAUAUUUUACCCAGCCUCACUAAAACAGCCAUAACUCUCGCGUUUUAAAACAUUUUUGAGCGAUUCUUGAGCCCACGCGAAGAUAACUUCCAGGGCUACAACUUUUGUCUCAC